This 243-nucleotide unclassified non-coding RNA is filed under the name fungal sp. Its description in RNAcentral is "partial contains 5.8S ribosomal RNA, internal transcribed spacer 2, and large subunit ribosomal RNA". The record is from RNAcentral. Lineage: Eukaryota; Fungi.
CGCACAUUGCGCCCAUUAGUACUCUAGUGGGCAUGCCUGUUCGAGCGUCAUUACGACCCCUAAGCCCGGCUUAGCGUUGGGGCCCCGCCUCCGGCGGUCCCCGAAACCUAGCGUGCGGAUCCGCGGUGAUCUCUGAGCGUAGUAAGCAACCCUCGCUCCCGAGCAGCCGCGCCUCCGGCCGUAAAACCCCCCACAUCUCCAGUGGUUGACCUCGGAUCAGGUAGGAAUACCCGCUGAACUUAA